RNAcentral lists this antisense RNA (75 nucleotides) under Micromonospora taraxaci. RNAcentral describes it as "ASpks TB sRNA". It matches the Rfam family "ASpks TB sRNA". The record is from RNAcentral. Lineage: Bacteria; Bacillati; Actinomycetota; Actinomycetes; Micromonosporales; Micromonosporaceae.
CUUGAGGGAGCCGAGCCACAGCGGACGGUCCUCGGGCCGGUCCUGACCGUAGGUGGCGAUCAGCGCCUGGGCCUC